Molecule: non-coding RNA, 1112 nt
Organism: Camellia sinensis
Lineage: Eukaryota; Viridiplantae; Streptophyta; Magnoliopsida; Ericales; Theaceae
Source: RefSeq, a predicted model, not a curated record
ACACAACACACACAGUACAAUUCAUUGUUUUUUUAGAUUCCCAAACCUAUCUCUCACUCACUCCUCUCUCCAAACCCUAACCCUACAUCCUUUGAUCGGCGGCGACUACGAGUAGCAGCGGCCUGCAGCGGCGGUGAGCGACUGAGGUCUCCAAGAUACAAAACACAAUAUGUUCGAAUAAAUUGUGCCUUUUAUGUUUCUAAACGUAAUCUGAAGAAUAUGAGCAAUUCGAUAGGCCAUAACUUGAUUCACCAUAAUUUGCUUGCUCUUGUGAUGUUAGAGCAUCAAAGUAAGAUCAAUUCCUCUUGCAUUUCUGGUUACCAUUUGUUUCAAGUUCAAGCAAAUUCACAGAUUCGAAAGUUGCAUAUCACUUCCAAAUUCUGGGGAAAAUGUGUGAAUUUACGGAAAACGAAGUUGCCGAUGGGAACAAAUCGAGUGCUUUCUGUUUUUCCUCAGUCUGUGUUAGCCACCGAUCCAACUUCUAAGCCUGUGGAUUAUGAGCCUCCAUUCUUCAAAAGCUGCAUAGAACAAGAAGCUCAUAGCCCAUGGACUAAAAAUCCUUUGAAAAUUGAGAGGUUGGGAAUGUCAACAACAAACAUUUUGUAUUAGCUCUCAAGGUUAAGAGUAUGCUUGAUCCUUGUGAAGACGAAAAUGAUGACAUUCAAGACGAUGAUGUGAGCUUGGGAGCUAAUUUUGUACAAAGGGAUAAGCAUUCUGAAUCUGUCAGUGAGAUAAGCAGCAGAAUUGUGACGAUAAUGGAUGACAUGGUUGAUGAAGGUGAUAACGACCCAUGAUGGGUUUCUUGAUGCCAAAAGCAACCGAAGGCUAGGCAAACGUGUGAUCCAUUCUGAUCUGACUGAGAAAAAACUAAUGGAAGUCAAGAAAGUCUUGGACAUUGAUGCCAUGGAUUUGGAUAUUAAUGAAUCACAUAACAAGUCCAACCACGUUGAAUUUCAGAAAUUGGGGACAUGUCCAUUUGUGGAAUGCUCCACUCCAUUGGAUCAGAUCUCACACACACAUGGGAAAAAUCUGAAACACAUCAAAAUGGCUCUAUAAGAAGCAAGCAAAAUGGUUUGAGGGCAAGGGAUUAUGGAAAUACCCCCACAAGUAGA